GAGAGUUUGGACGCUGGCUCAGGAUGAACGCUGGCGGCGUGCUUAACACAUGCAAGUCGAACGAUGAAGCCGAAGCUUGCUUUGGUGGAUUAGUGGCGAACGGGUGAGUAACACGUGAGUAACCUGCCCCUGACUCUGGGAUAAGCCUGGGAAACUGGGUCUAAUACCGGAUAUGACCAUGGAACGCAUGUUCUGUGGUGGAAAGAUUUAUCGGUUGGGGAUGGACUCGCGGCCUAUCAGCUUGUUGGUGAGGUAAUGGCUCACCAAGGCGACGACGGGUAGCCGGCCUGAGAGGGUGACCGGCCACACUGGGACUGAGACACGGCCCAGACUCCUACGGGAGGCAGCAGUGGGGAAUAUUGCACAAUGGGCGAAAGCCUGAUGCAGCGACGCCGCGUGAGGGAUGACGGCCUUCGGGUUGUAAACCUCUUUCAGUAGGGAAGAAGCGAGAGUGACGGUACCUGCAGAAGAAGCGCCGGCUAACUACGUGCCAGCAGCCGCGGUAAUACGUAGGGCGCAAGCGUUAUCCGGAUUUAUUGGGCGUAAAGAGCUCGUAGGCGGUUUGUCGCGUCUGCCGUGAAAGUCCGAGGCUCAACCUCGGAUCUGCGGUGGGUACGGGCAGACUAGAGUGAUGUAGGGGAGACUGGAAUUCCUGGUGUAGCGGUGAAAUGCGCAGAUAUCAGGAGGAACACCGAUGGCGAAGGCAGGUCUCUGGGCAUUUACUGACGCUGAGGAGCGAAAGCAUGGGGAGCGAACAGGAUUAGAUACCCUGGUAGUCCAUGCCGUAAACGUUGGGCACUAGGUGUGGGGGACAUUCCACGUUUUCCGCGCCGUAGCUAACGCAUUAAGUGCCCCGCCUGGGGAGUACGGCCGCAAGGCUAAAACUCAAAGGAAUUGACGGGGGCCCGCACAAGCGGCGGAGCAUGCGGAUUAAUUCGAUGCAACGCGAAGAACCUUACCAAGGCUUGACAUGUUCCAGACCGGGCUAGAGAUAGUCCUUCCCUUCGGGGCUGGUUCACAGGUGGUGCAUGGUUGUCGUCAGCUCGUGUCGUGAGAUGUUGGGUUAAGUCCCGCAACGAGCGCAACCCUCGUUCCAUGUUGCCAGCACGUAGUGGUGGGGACUCAUGGGAGACUGCCGGGGUCAACUCGGAGGAAGGUGGGGAUGACGUCAAAUCAUCAUGCCCCUUAUGUCUUGGGCUUCACGCAUGCUACAAUGGCCGGUACAAUGGGUUGCGAUACUGUGAGGUGGAGCUAAUCCCUAAAAGCCGGUCUCAGUUCGGAUUGGGGUCUGCAACUCGACCCCAUGAAGUCGGAGUCGCUAGUAAUACCAGA
RNAcentral lists this ribosomal RNA (1332 nucleotides) under Glutamicibacter uratoxydans. Its description in RNAcentral is "bacterial SSU rRNA". It matches the Rfam family "Bacterial small subunit ribosomal RNA", at positions 8 to 1348 of the family's 1533-position model. Lineage: Bacteria; Bacillati; Actinomycetota; Actinomycetes; Micrococcales; Micrococcaceae. The record is from RNAcentral.